AGUAGUUGAUCAUGGCUCGAGGACGACGCUGGCGGCGUGCCCAACACAUGCAAGUCGAGCGGAGUUGACAAGAGGAAGUUUCGGAUGGAAUCUGCCAGCUUAGCGGCGGACGGGUGAGUAACGCGUGAGCGACCAACCUUGCACAGGGGGAUGACGGACCGAAAGGUUCACUAAUACCGCAUAAGACCACGGUGUUGCAUGACACAGAGGUCAAAGGAGCAAUCCGGUGCAAGACGGGCUCGCGUCCGAUUAGGUAGUUGGAGGGUAACGGCCCACCAAGCCUAUGAUCGGUAGCCGACCUGAGAGGGUGAUCGGCCACAUUGGAACUGAGAUACGGUCCAAACUCCUACGGGAGGCAGCAGUGGGGAAUAUUGGGCAAAUGGGGGAAACCCUGACCCAGCAACGCCGCGUGAAGGAAGAAGGUUUUCGGAUUGUAAACUUCUGUCCUUGGUGAAGAGAAGAAGACGGUAGCCAAGGAGGAAGCCCCGGCUAACUACGUGCCAGCAGCGGC
This 511-nucleotide ribosomal RNA is filed under the name uncultured bacterium. Its description in RNAcentral is "bacterial SSU rRNA". It matches the Rfam family "Bacterial small subunit ribosomal RNA", at positions 1 to 518 of the family's 1533-position model. The record is from RNAcentral.